This 1094-nucleotide ribosomal RNA is filed under the name Skeletonema marinoi. RNAcentral describes it as "partial Bacterial large subunit ribosomal RNA". It matches the Rfam family "Bacterial large subunit ribosomal RNA", at positions 66 to 1212 of the family's 2925-position model. Lineage: Eukaryota; Bacillariophyta; Thalassiosirophyceae; Thalassiosirales; Thalassiosiraceae. The record is from RNAcentral.
CUGCGAUAAGGUUCGGGGAGUCGGCAAACAGACUUUGAUCCGAACAUUUCUGAAUGGGGAAACCCACUUGUCAUAAGACAGGUAUCCAGUACUGAAUACAUAGGUACUGGAGGCGAACCGGGAGAACUGAAACAUCUAAGUACCCCGAGGAAAAGAAAUCAACCGAGAUUCCCUGAGUAGCGGCGAGCGAAAGGGGAGCAGCCCUUAAGUCUGUAUUGUGUUAGUGGAAGGCUCUGGAAAGUGCCGCCAUAGUGGGUGAUAGCCCCGUACACGAAAACUAACCGCAGUGAAAUCGAGUAGGUCGGGACACGAGAAAUCUUGACUGAAUAUGGGGGGACCAUCCUCCAAGGCUAAAUACUCCUGACUGACCGAUAGUGAACCAGUACCGUGAGGGAAAGGCGAAAAGAACCCCUGUGAGGGGAGUGAAAUAGAUCCUGAAACCGCAUGCAUACAAGCAGUGGGAGCCGACUUGUUCGGUGACUGCGUACCUUUUGUAUAAUGGGUCAGCGACUUACAUUUUGUGGCGAGGUUAACCGAAUAGGGGAGCCGUAGGGAAACCGAGUCUUAACUGGGCGUCCAGUCGCAAGGUGUAGACCCGAAACCGAGUGAUCUAGCCAUGGGCAGGUUGAAGGUUGAGUAACAUCAACUGGAGGACCGAACCGACUAACGUUGAAAAGUUAGCGGAUGACCUGUGGCUGGGGGUGAAAGGCCAAUCAAACUCGGAGAUAGCUGGUUCUCCUCGAAAUCUAUUUAGGUAGAGCCUCGGAUGAAUACCACUGGGGGUAGAGCACUGUUAAGGCUAGGGGGUCAUCCCGACUUACCAACCCUUUGCAAACUCCGAAUACCAGUGAGUACUAUCCGGGAGACACACGGCGGGUGCUAACGUCCGUCGUGGAAAGGGAAACAACCCAGACCGUCAGCUAAGGUCCCAAAGUUUUGGUUAAGUGGGAAACGAUGUGGGAAGGCUCAGACAGCUAGGAGGUUGGCUUAGAAGCAGCCACCCUUUAAAGAAAGCGUAAUAGCUCACUAGUCGAGUCGGCCUGCGCGGAAGAUGUAACGGGGCUAAAACUAUGUGCCGAAGCUGCGGAUUUGAC